CCUACGGGUGGCUGCAGUGAGGAAUAUUGGUCAAUGGACGCAAGUCUGAACCAGCCAUGCCGCGUGCAGGAAGACGGCUCUAUGAGUUGUAAACUGCUUUUGUACGAGGGUAAACGCAGAUACGCGUAUCAGUUUGAAAGUAUCGUAAGAAUAAGGAUCGGCUAACUCCGUGCCAACAGCCGCGGUAAUACGGAGGAUUCAAGCGUUAUCCGGAUUUAUUGGGUUUAAAGGGGGCGUAGGCGGGUGGAUAAGUUAGAGGUGAAAGCUUGAGGCUCAACUUCGGAAUUGCCUUUGAUACUGGUCGUCUAGAGUGUAGUAGCGGUAGGCGGAAUGUGUGGUGUAGCGGUGAAAUGCUUAGAGAUCAUGCAGAACCCCGAUUGCGAAGGCAGCUUACUAGACU
RNAcentral lists this ribosomal RNA (400 nucleotides) under uncultured bacterium. RNAcentral's name for it is "partial 16S ribosomal RNA". It matches the Rfam family "Bacterial small subunit ribosomal RNA", at positions 338 to 735 of the family's 1533-position model. The record is from RNAcentral.